RNAcentral lists this ribosomal RNA (406 nucleotides) under uncultured bacterium. RNAcentral describes it as "partial 16S ribosomal RNA". It matches the Rfam family "Bacterial small subunit ribosomal RNA", at positions 30 to 526 of the family's 1533-position model. The record is from RNAcentral.
AUUGAACGCUGGCGGCAGGCCUAACACAUGCAAGUCGAACGAGUGGCGCACGGGUGAGUAAUGUCUGGGACACUGCCCGAUGGAGGGGGAUAACUCCUGGAAACGGUAGCUACUACCGCAUACCCUCGUAUGUGCCCAUAGGGGAUUCGCUAGUAGGUGGGGUAACGGGUCACCUAGGCGACGAUCCCUAGCUGGUCUGAGAGGAUGACCAGCCACACUGGGACUGAGACACGGUCCAGACUCCUACGGGAGGCAGCAGUGGGGAAUAUUGCACAAUGGGCGCAAGCCUGAUGCAGCCAUGCCGCGUGUAUGAAGAAGGCCUUAGGGUUGUAAAGUACUUUAAGUGGGGAGGCGUUACUCGCAGAAGAAGCACCGGCUAACUCCGUGCCAGCAGCCGCGGUAAUUC